UUCUUAUCUAGAGAAACUGAGGGACUGGCCCAAUGAAGUUUCAGCAACCAGUGUGUUUCAUUCGCAUGCAUGGUGCUAAGUCCAGCAGGUUUUCCUGAAAGAUAAGGC
RNAcentral lists this non-coding RNA (108 nucleotides) under Clostridium acidisoli. RNAcentral's name for it is "SAM-I sequence". It matches the Rfam family "SAM riboswitch aptamer (S box leader)". From Rfam's summary of the family: The SAM riboswitch is found upstream of a number of genes which code for proteins involved in methionine or cysteine biosynthesis in Gram-positive bacteria. The SAM riboswitch acts at the level of transcription termination control. Lineage: Bacteria; Bacillati; Bacillota; Clostridia; Eubacteriales; Clostridiaceae. RNAcentral also lists the same sequence under 1 other name. The record is from RNAcentral.